GACGAACGCUGGCGGCGUGCCUAAUACAUGCAAGUAGAACGCACAGUUUAUACCGUAGCUUGCUACACCAUAGACUGUGAGUUGCGAACGGGUGAGUAACGCGUAGGUAACCUGCCUGGUAGCGGGGGAUAACUAUUGGAAACGAUAGCUAAUAACGCAUAAUAUUAAUUAUUGCAUGAUAAUUAAUUGAAAGGUGCAAUUGCACCACUACCAGAUGGUCCUGCGUUGUAUUAGCUAGUAGGUGAGGUAACGGAUCACCUAGGCGACGAUACAUAGCCGACCUGAGAGGGUGAUCGGCCACACUGGGACUGAGACACGGCCCAGACUCCUACGGGAGGCAGCAGUAGGGAAUCUUCGGCAAUGGACGAAAGUCUGACCGAGCAACGCCGCGUGAGUGAAGAAGGUUUUCGGAUCGUAAAGCUCUGUUGUAAGAGAAGAACGGGUGUGAGAGUGGAAAGUUCACACUGUGACGGUAUCUUACCAGAAAGGGACGGCUAACUACGUG
This 505-nucleotide ribosomal RNA is filed under the name uncultured bacterium. RNAcentral describes it as "partial 16S ribosomal RNA". It matches the Rfam family "Bacterial small subunit ribosomal RNA", at positions 28 to 507 of the family's 1533-position model. The record is from RNAcentral.